GAGGCCUACAAUGUGGUUCCGUCCUCAUACUUCAUUCAGAAAUGACACUGAUGAAAAGAAGGAAGGGCUGAGGUGACACAAGCCUCAAUACUGUACACUUGGCUCUGUGGAUGUUUUCUGGUUUAAGUUUCGCAUGUUUUAGACCCCAUUUCUCUCCUUUCCAUUAACUGCUAACCCCCUGGACCUUUAUCAUGCCUAUCUCAUCUUAAAAGGAUUCCUUAGUUUCUUACUCAAUAUAAUUUUUUAUAUGUGGUUGAAAUACAAACAUACUAAACCCUUGUUAAACUGGUACUGAUUUAUUCUAGACAAUAGCUCUAUUGCUCCUAAAAAGAGAAAGCUACUUUUCCCAGCAUGUUAGGUGCUCACUUGCUCUUAAAACAUUGGCUAUCCUCUUUCUUGAAGUAGAAAUCUCUUCAUUUCUAGACCCCCCGGUGUUUUAGAAGUGGAAAAAAAAAAAAAAAGGUUUCCUAUAAUCAAGGCUUACAACUACAGCAUAGUGAAAAAUAAAAUGUAUUCCAAUGACCACAUAAAAUAUUCACUGAGAGUUCAAAAUGAGAAGAGAUGUGUGUGUGUGAAAUUUUGAUAUUAUAUAAUUGUGUAUAAAGUUACAUUAGUUUUAUAUAAAAACUCAUUUUAGGAAAAACAUGGUCAAAGAGUAAAAUCAAUACUAACAAUAAAUCUAGAAUCAUAUUACUGAA
This 698-nucleotide long non-coding RNA is filed under the name Marmota monax (woodchuck). Lineage: Eukaryota; Metazoa; Chordata; Mammalia; Rodentia; Sciuridae. The record is from RNAcentral.